RNAcentral lists this long non-coding RNA (477 nucleotides) under Brassica napus (rape). RNAcentral describes it as "long non-coding RNA (BNAP_LNC009672)". The record is from RNAcentral. Lineage: Eukaryota; Viridiplantae; Streptophyta; Magnoliopsida; Brassicales; Brassicaceae.
UUUUUUUUUACUUUUUUUAUGUUUCAAAAUUUGAAAUCUUAUCCCAAACCCCACUCUAAACCCUAAAACCUAAACUUUAAACCCUAAACUCUAAACCCUAAACCCUAAAUCCUAAACCCCACCCCUUAACUCGAAACCCUAAACCCUAAACCCUAAACUCCACCUCUAAACUCUAAACCUUAAACGCUAAACACUAAACCCCACCUCUUAACUCUAAACCUCACCCCACCUCUAAACUCUAAACUCUAAACUCUAAACUCUAAACUCUAAACCCUAAACCCUAAACUCUAAACCCUAAACCCUAAAUCCUAAACCUCACCCCUUAACUCGAAACCCUAAACCCUAAACCCUAAACCCCACCUCUAAACUCUAAACCCUAAACCCUAAACCCUAAACCCUAAACCCCACCUCUAAACCCUAAACCCUAAACCCUAAACCCUAAACCCUAAACCCUAAACCCUAAACCCUAAACCUUAA